CGUGGCGGGUGAAGAAUGCAGUCGACGAUUAUCAUCGGGUAGCAAUAUUCGGUGGUGAGAGUGGCGCAAGGGUGCGUAACACGUGGGUAAUUUGCCGUGAAGUCUGGAAUAACUUGCUGAAAGGCGAGCUAAUACCGGAUGUGAUUGCUGGGGGGCAUCCUCUGGCACUUAAAGUCGGGGACCGCAAGGCCUGACACUUUUCGAUAAGCCCGCGGCCUAUCAGCUAGUUGGUGAGGUAACGGCUCACCAAGGCUAAGACGGGUAGCUGGUCUGAGAGGACGACCAGCCACACUGGAACUGAGACACGGUCCAGACACCUACGGGUGGCAGCAGUCGAGAAUUUUUCACAAUGGGCGAAAGCCUGAUGGAGCGACGCCGCGUGGGGGAUGAAUGGCUUCGGCCCGUAAACCCCUGUCAUUUGCGAUCAAACCUGCCUGUCUAAUACAUUGGCAGCUGAUAGUAGCGAAAGAGGAAGGGACGGCUAACUCUGUGCCAGCAGCCGCGGUAAUACAGAGGUCCCAAGCGUUGUUCGGAUUCACUGGGCGUAAAGGGUGCGUAGGUGGCGGUGGAAGUUUGAUGUGAAAUCUCCGGGCUUAACCCGGAAAAGGCAUUAAAUACUCCAUUGCUCGAGGACUGGAGGGGAGACUGGAAUUCUCGGUGUAGCGGUGAAAUGCGUAGAUAUCGAGAGGAACACCAGUGGCGAAGGCGAGUCUCUGGACAGUCCCUGACACUGAGGCACGAAAGCUAGGGGAGCAAACAGGAUUAGAUACCCUGGUAGUCCUAGCUGUAAACGGUGCACAUUUGCCGUGAGCGGAAUCGACCCCGUUCGUGGCGGAGCUAACGCGAUAAAUGUGCCGCCUGGGGAGUACGGUCGCAAGAUUAAAACUCAAAGGAAUUGACGG
Molecule: ribosomal RNA, 902 nt
Filed under: uncultured Verrucomicrobiota bacterium
Lineage: Bacteria; Pseudomonadati; Verrucomicrobiota
Description: bacterial SSU rRNA
Rfam family: Bacterial small subunit ribosomal RNA
Source: RNAcentral